UUGUCCUGGGGACCCCAGCCAAUUUCCUGUGCCAGAGCCCAGCGCUUCUGACCCUACCACUUAGGUAGAAAGAGCAAGGCUUUGGAGUCAGACAGAUAAGAUUCAAUUCCUCCUCCAGCAUUUACAAACCGGGUGCUUUGAGCCACAGGACUUCUGAGAAAUUAUACUACAAAAGUGGUAUCAGAUGAAGAGGUGAUCAAAGGAUAUGCAGGCCAAAAAUAUA
Ceratotherium simum simum (southern white rhinoceros) is the source of this 223-nucleotide non-coding RNA. The record is from RefSeq and is a predicted model, not a curated record. NCBI's taxonomy places the organism in Eukaryota, Metazoa, Chordata, Mammalia, Perissodactyla, Rhinocerotidae.